UAUUAAUGGAGUAGAAGAUAUUCUCUAAAAGACAUAUCAAAUAGUGGACAGUUAGAUGUUAUUUCUGCUAUCUUUCUGUGGUUUCUUAUUUCUGUCUGUGCUUUGGAUUCAGGAAUUCCUAGGUAAUCUGCUCUUAUUUCAGUUCUUUCCCACAAAGUACUUGUGAGUGACAUGCAAGACUGCCUUCAUGGAUAGCUCUAUAAAAGAGACACAUUUCCCCAGGAUCUUUGGUUAUGCUUGACUGGACCUACUGAGAAUUCCAUUUUCUCUAUUCUAUUUUCAGAAAAUGCAAAUAUAGAUAGCAUUUCAUGUUUCCUUGAAAACAUAGCUGAAUUGUUAUAUAGUCCUGUGAGCUUAUUCCUUGUGAAUGUUCUCAAUUCGUUGUUCUAGAAGGUUCUGAUCCAUUCAAAUAUAUCUCCUUACAUACAGAUUUUCCUGGAUUCAGAUUUUUACUGGAAAUGACAGUUGAGGCUUAACACUUAAGGUCCAAAGCUAUGUCCAGUUAUAUGCAAGGCAUGUAAAGUUGGGAAUAUAGUUCCGAAGUCCACAAAUAGAGGGAAGUCAUAGGUUAGAAGUAGGAGGAAGGCAAGUCUGGGAGGAUGGAGUGUAUCUAGUGAAAGACUAAACAUGACUUACUUACUUCCCAUCCCCAAACAUAGGCAAAUGAGUUGUCCUUUAAUCUUUCUCUUUAAACAAACACAAGCACUCUAUAUAUCCUCCAAAUAUAUUUCUCUUUCCUAGGCUUCCAGAGACCCAUUAGUAUGUGGGAAUACUUUCCUUGCCUUGCUAUCUUGCAGAACUUUAAACACUUUUUCAGUGCUCUGUAACCAGAAAAAUGUCCCAGCAACUUGGAAUAACUGUAAUAUUUCAGUAACAGGGAACAUCAUUUACUAUGCUGAAAAUGACUCAAGAAUUAUAUAUAUUGCUCAAAUAAUAUGACUUUUGGGCAUCUGAGUAAAUGAAUCUUUCUCAGCCUUCAUGAUACAAUAUUAUGUCCUUUAAUAGGUGGUUCACACCACUUCUAGAAGUCAAAAAUGGGAAAUCAAAGACUCAGAUUUGGAAUCCACCUUUUCCAAUAAGACUCUGCUGGGCAUGGUGGCACAUGCCUUUAAUCCCAGCACUCAGAAGACAGAGGCAGGCAGAUCUCUAAGUUUGAAACCAGCCUGGUCUACAGGGGGAGUUCCAGGGCAGCCAGGACUACUCAGAGAAAUCCUGUCUUGAAAACAAACAAAAAACAAAAAAUGAAAUUCCACAGGACUGAUCUUUCUUUUUCCCAAUCUCUUUGGAUUCACAAUGAAAAUACCUGCAGAGCUACAUUUCUCUUUGUUGCUUUGGCUUAGAAAGGUCAGUAGCUAUGACCAACUAUUACCGCUAAGCUACUCCUACACAGAUCACUUGUCACCUGUGCCUGUCAUCCUUGGAGGCAUGGAAGACAUUUUUAUAAAUGAACUGCCCAUUAAAGAAAGUCACCAAUGAACAGCCAUAGGCACGGAAGACAGCAAGGAAACAAGUCCUUCUAGACCUAACAGGUCUGAUGCACAUACGAACUCACAGAGACUGUGGCAGUAUGUACAGGGCUCGCACAGGUCUAAGCCAGAUGAGAUCCCAGUGCCGACAAGGGAAGUAGGCACACACCCCAUUCCUAACCUAGAAGCCAUUUCUCCAACAGAGUGUCACUGGGUAUACAAACCACACUUAAGGGCAGGCCCCAUGUCCAGCAAUAGAUGGCCAACACAAAGCUAACCCAGCAGUAUUUUCAGAGGUAUUUUUUUUUGUUUCUCAAUGCUUUGUUUAGCUGUUUUGUCCCCUUACUGAUCUUUUGCUUAUAUAUUAUGAUUUCUAAUUUUAUUUUUAUAGGUUUUCCAUGUGUGCAAAUAAGUGUGUUUCAGUGUCUAGAUGUGUUUCUUGUGCUUUUUCUUUGGCUAUUUCCUCUUCUGUUUGUUUUUUUGUCCUCUUACGGUUUGUUUGUUUUCUUUUAUUGUUUUUAGAUGCCUGUUUGUAUUCUAAAGAGAGAGAGAGAAAGAAAGGGUGUGGACUUGGAUAGAUGGAGAAGUAGGGAGGGUUUGGGAAGAUUUGGAGGAAAGGAACUAUCAUAAGAAUAUAAUUGUGUGAAAAAUCUAUUUUUAAAAAGAACAAAAGAAAGAAAAACUAGACAAGAAAAACUUGGAAUGCCCAAGUGCGGAGGUUAGAAGCAUGGCUUUGGAAGCACAUCUAAGUGUGUUCAGAUUUCCCAUUUCCUGCUGUGUGACUCUAUGUAUAUUGUGUAACUUCUUGAAUAUCUUUUUCUUCAUUAAUGGAAUUAAACCUAGCCAAAAAAAAAAGAAAGAAAAAAGAAAAAGAAAGUCACCAAUGUGAGCAAUAGCCAGCAUAUCUAACCCCUGCGUGAUGGACCUUUCUGGAGAAGUUUAGAUGAGGCCAGGCUUAAUGCCAAAGAGCUUACAGACUCUAUCUGUCCAUCCUGUGAAGAUGCAGCAGGAAGGCAGUUGUCAGAAAGAGGCCCUUCCCCAGAACCUGUGCACACUGGCAUUUGAUCUGGGACUUCCUAGCUUCCAGAACUGUAGAAAUAAAUGUUGUUCAAGCCACCCAAUA
This is a non-coding RNA of Cricetulus griseus (Chinese hamster), 2589 nucleotides long. Lineage: Eukaryota; Metazoa; Chordata; Mammalia; Rodentia; Cricetidae. The record is from RefSeq and is a predicted model, not a curated record.